This 495-nucleotide ribosomal RNA is filed under the name uncultured bacterium. RNAcentral's name for it is "partial 16S ribosomal RNA". It matches the Rfam family "Bacterial small subunit ribosomal RNA", at positions 28 to 507 of the family's 1533-position model. The record is from RNAcentral.
GACGAACGCUGGCGGCGUGCCUAAUACAUGCAAGUAGAACGCUGAAGGAGGAGCUUGCUUCUCUGGAUGAGUUGCGAACGGGUGAGUAACGCGUAGGUAACCUGCCUGGUAGCGGGGGAUAACUAUUGGAUACGAUAGCUAAUACCGCAUAAGAGUAGAUGUUGCAUGACAUUUGCUUAAAAGGUGCAAUUGCAUCCCUACCAGAUGGACCUGCGUUGUAUUAGCUAGUUGGUGGGGUAACGGCUCACCAAGGCGACGAUACAUAGCCGACCUGAGAGGGUGAUCGGCCACACUGGGACUGAGACACGGCCCAGACUCCUACGGGAGGCAGCAGUAGGGAAUCUUCGGCAAUGGACGGAAGUCUGACCGAGCAACGCCGCGUGAGUGAAGAAGGGUUUCGGAUCGUAAAGCUCUGUUGUAAGAGAAGAACGAGUGUGAGAGUGGAAAGUUCACACUGUGACGGUAUCUUACCAGAAAGGGACGGCUAACUACGUG